RNAcentral lists this unclassified non-coding RNA (208 nucleotides) under Hevea brasiliensis (rubber tree). Lineage: Eukaryota; Viridiplantae; Streptophyta; Magnoliopsida; Malpighiales; Euphorbiaceae. The record is from RNAcentral.
AUAAACUAAACCUGAAACACAACACAAAACGAUCAACUUUCAAAGAAUAAACUUCAAACUCAAACUAUGUUAUGGUUGUCACAAUGACCACAAAAUGCAGUAUGAAAUUAAAUGAACGGAAAAAUAAGUAUGAUAAUUGCACAUAAAGAAAUUAAAUACGCUAAGCAAUCCAGGCCCAAGUCUUCAAGCGCAAUUUGACAUCUAAUUA